RNAcentral lists this ribosomal RNA (339 nucleotides) under Triticum aestivum (bread wheat). RNAcentral's name for it is "partial small subunit ribosomal RNA". The record is from RNAcentral. Lineage: Eukaryota; Viridiplantae; Streptophyta; Magnoliopsida; Poales; Poaceae.
AUGUGUGUGUGUGUGUGUGUGUGUUUUUUCCUCUCUUUCGCUCCUAUUUUCUGGCCUUUCACCGUUUCUUCUCUGUUUAGCUCUUAUUUAUCAAUCAGGUCCAACAUUACAAUAAUGAAGUUACAUGGCACUCCAGCAAUUGAGGAUAGCACGCAGCUCCCGGUCAACAUUUCAGUGGGGACAAUACUUGAGGAUUAUAUGCCUAAUUUUUCCUUUGUAACGCAUGGUAUUUUGAUAGGACAACUUAUAUGCUCGUGCUUUCUUUCUUCUAGAACUUUGAUACCUUCCUUUUUUGCUUUAUCGAGGAUUCAGGUUUUUAACCUAACAUGCCCACAAUAA